UUCUGACCCUCGGCUGCGAUCUCCAGCCGUUUCUGCCCUGACGCACUUCCCCGGCGCCAGGUCGAAACGGAGGGGGAUCGGAGCAGAGGGCCCCAGGGCC
RNAcentral lists this non-coding RNA (100 nucleotides) under Microbacterium lemovicicum. RNAcentral describes it as "mraW". It matches the Rfam family "mraW RNA". Lineage: Bacteria; Bacillati; Actinomycetota; Actinomycetes; Micrococcales; Microbacteriaceae. The record is from RNAcentral.